AGCUGGUCUGAAAAUAGUGAGUUACCACAAGUGAUUGUUCACAGUUACAGACUGAACUGUUCUACUCUUUCCCUUUUUUUCACUAUUGCACUUGACUAGUUGCUUUU
This 107-nucleotide Y RNA is filed under the name Saimiri boliviensis boliviensis (Bolivian squirrel monkey). RNAcentral's name for it is "Y RNA (ENSSBOG00000000720.1)". It matches the Rfam family "Y RNA". Rfam says of the family: Y RNAs are components of the Ro ribonucleoprotein particle (Ro RNP), in association with Ro60 and La proteins. The Y RNAs and Ro60 and La proteins are well conserved, but the function of the Ro RNP is not known. Lineage: Eukaryota; Metazoa; Chordata; Mammalia; Primates; Cebidae. The record is from Rfam by way of RNAcentral.